GCUGGGCGUGGUGGUGCAUACCUGUAAUCCCAGCUACCCAGGAGGCUGAGGCAGGAGGAUUGCCAGUUCAAAGCCAGUCUCAGAAACUUAGUGAGGCCCUAAGAAAUUUAGUGAGACCCUGUCUCAA
RNAcentral lists this small RNA (127 nucleotides) under Marmota monax (woodchuck). Lineage: Eukaryota; Metazoa; Chordata; Mammalia; Rodentia; Sciuridae. The record is from RNAcentral.